Onychomys torridus (southern grasshopper mouse) is the source of this 876-nucleotide long non-coding RNA. RefSeq lists it as uncharacterized. The transcript is spliced from 3 exons. Lineage: Eukaryota; Metazoa; Chordata; Mammalia; Rodentia; Cricetidae. The record is from RefSeq and is a predicted model, not a curated record.
GACGCCGCCAGCUGAUCGGAGACUGGAGCCGGUGUGUGCUGGGCGAUGGGAAGAGACAGAGCGGUCGGCCGUGCGGGGAGGACGCAGUGAUUUUGCUCCUCUGUCCUCAGCAACCCCCACACCCAGCAUCAGGACCCUGUGCCUCCCACACCCUCACCUGGCUGAGCCGCAGUAGUUCUUCAGUGGCAAGCUUUAUGUCCUGACCCAGCUAAAGCUGCCAGUUGAAGAACUGUUGCCCUCUGCCCCUGGCUUCGAGGAGGAAGAGGAGGAGCGGCUUCUUUGCCUGCCUUCUGGAAGUGUGUCCCUCCAGCACUGGGUUCAUGGCUCUGCUAUCUUCAUCCAACAUGGAGCCUCAGAGGUGAGGAAGGGCAACACAGAGGCCGGCAGAAGACCAGUGAAGGACCUGGCCUGGAGCCACAAGGGCCUGUCCCAGACAUUGGUCGGAGGGGUACACAGAAGCCUGGAGAACAGCCAGCCUCCAUGAAAGACAAGCUUCCAGCCAUCUCCUCUCCAGACCUAGCUCCCUUGGAGAUGAAGACCCAUGAUGAAGUAUCUCUUCUCUACCCUGCGGUUUCUAUAUAACCACCCUGGAGGAGCAUGAGCCACCUCUGAAAGGGAAUACAGAACAAAUUCAAAGAGAGACUCAAAUGUGUAACACUAUGGAAAAACACAUUUUUGGCUGGGGCUACAGCUGAGUUGGUAGAAUGCUUGUUCAACAUGCACAGAGCCCUGGUUCUAUCUCUGCAUUGCCUAGAACUGGGUGUGGUGGCACAGGCCUAUAAUCCCAGCACACUGGAGGUGGUGGUAAGAGGAUAAGAGGAUCCUACAUUCAAGGUCAUCCUCUGCUACACAAUGAGUAAUGAGUUCUGAGCCAGC